Oncorhynchus mykiss (rainbow trout) is the source of this 902-nucleotide non-coding RNA. Lineage: Eukaryota; Metazoa; Chordata; Actinopteri; Salmoniformes; Salmonidae. The record is from RefSeq and is a predicted model, not a curated record.
CCACAGAGUAGAUGGCGAGGAGGCUCUGCUUCCUGUCACUCCAGGACUGCAGGAGGAGAUGAUGAGGAUCGACAACGUCCUGCCUGUUUUCAGGGUCUCCCCCUGUAGCCUCCUGGUCCUGGCUUAUCGACAAGCAGCACCCCCCAGAACCACACUGCACUGAUCCCCAAAACAUGCAGGAGGACAGCCUAUCGGAAGUUCUCUUUAAAGAGCUCCCGCCCUUCAGACUGAUGCUCCAUCUCCGCCCGCAAGAGGAGGUCCACGAUAACAGUGGACUACAAAGAGCUGUCGCUGCAUGCGAAACUGAGGCGUGGAGACAAGUUCACAGACACCAAGUUCCUCCGCUCUCCCAUCUUCAAACAGAAACCCAGGAAGUCCAUGAAGACCCAGCCGUCGUCACUGGAGAAAUACAAUUAGUCUUUUGUGGGAUGUCGCUAACAUGUGCUUUGUGUCCACACAUUGAACACGUUUUACCCAUUUAAAUGUGUUUGAGAGUUAGUGUGGCACCUGUGUUUGUGGUACAUUAUUUUAAUAGUUUAUAUCCAAUAAAAUAAUGGAAGGCAGCUUUAAUUGUGGUUCAUUUCUUAGUUGAUUCUUUGUUCUUAUCAGUAGGCUGAAUUUAGCCAAAUCAUCAGGGGCAUUAGAGAUGUUCAAGUAUAUCUCCCCAAAAUCUAUAUUCUCUCCAUGUCCCCGUUUCGUGAUGCCUGUAUUGAUUGUUAGCCACCUGUAGAGGGCGAUGUUAGAACAGCAUUCUGCCGGACGACAGGUUCCUCAUGUACUGUAUGGUUGUGUUCAGUCAGUUCACUGUUGUUCAUAUAUGUUUAGCUUGCAUUUUCUAGAACUUUGAAUAUUAAUUUGCCACAUGCCGCUGUUUUCAUAUGUAAGAUGUUUUGGUUUUAUGA